Molecule: transfer RNA, 91 nt
Filed under: Endozoicomonas montiporae
Lineage: Bacteria; Pseudomonadati; Pseudomonadota; Gammaproteobacteria; Oceanospirillales; Endozoicomonadaceae
Also listed under: 5 other names
Description: tRNA-Ser
Rfam family: tRNA
About the family: Transfer RNA (tRNA) molecules are approximately 80 nucleotides in length. Their secondary structure includes four short double-helical elements and three loops (D, anti-codon, and T loops).
Source: RNAcentral
GGAGGGAUGGCUGAGCGGUUGAAAGCACUGGUCUUGAAAACCAGCGUGGGUUAAUAGCCCACCCAGGGUUCGAAUCCCUGUCCCUCCGCCA